UACGUAGGUGGCAAGCGUUGUCCGGAUUUAUUAGGUUUAAAGGGUGCGUAGGCGGCCCUGUAAGUCAGUUGUGAAAUACGGCAGCUUAACUGUCGAGGUGCAAUUGAUACUGCAGGGCUUGAGUACUGAUGAGGUAGGCGGAAUGGACGGUGUAGCGGUGAAAUGCUUAGAGAUCGUCCAGAACACCGAUAGCGAAGGCAGCUUACUAAGGAGUAACUGACGCUGAGGCACGAAAGUGUGGGGAUCAAACAGG
RNAcentral lists this ribosomal RNA (253 nucleotides) under uncultured bacterium. RNAcentral's name for it is "partial 16S ribosomal RNA". It matches the Rfam family "Bacterial small subunit ribosomal RNA", at positions 524 to 776 of the family's 1533-position model. The record is from RNAcentral.